RNAcentral lists this transfer RNA (74 nucleotides) under Amphiplicatus metriothermophilus. It matches the Rfam family "tRNA". Rfam says of the family: Transfer RNA (tRNA) molecules are approximately 80 nucleotides in length. Their secondary structure includes four short double-helical elements and three loops (D, anti-codon, and T loops). Further hydrogen bonds mediate the characteristic L-shaped molecular structure. tRNAs have two regions of fundamental functional importance: the anti-codon, which is responsible for specific mRNA codon recognition, and the 3' end, to which the tRNAs corresponding amino acid is attached (by aminoacyl-tRNA synthetases). tRNAs cope with the degeneracy of the genetic code in two manners: having more than one tRNA (with a specific anti-codon) for a particular amino acid; and 'wobble' base-pairing, i.e. permitting non-standard base-pairing at the 3rd anti-codon position. The record is from Rfam by way of RNAcentral. Lineage: Bacteria; Pseudomonadati; Pseudomonadota; Alphaproteobacteria; Parvularculales; Parvularculaceae.
GAUCCCGUAGCUCAGUUGGAUAGAGCGCUAGCCUCCGAAGCUAGAGGUCACAGGUUCAAAUCCUGUCGGGAUCG